AGAGUUUGAUCCUGGCUCAGGAUGAACGCUAGCGGCAUGCUUAACACAUGCAAGUCGAGGGGUAUAGUUCUUCGGAACUAGAGACCGGCGCACGGGUGCGUAACGCGUAUGCAAUCUACCUUUCACAAAGGGAUAGCCCAGAGAAAUUUGGAUUAAUACCUUAUAGUAUAUAUGAAUGGCAUCAUUUAUAUAUUAAAGAUUUAUCGGUGAAAGAUGAGCAUGCGUCCCAUUAGCUUGUUGGUAAGGUAACGGCUUACCAAGGCAACGAUGGGUAGGGGUCCUGAGAGGGAGAUCCCCCACACUGGUACUGAGACACGGACCAGACUCCUACGGGAGGCAGCAGUGAGGAAUAUUGGACAAUGGGCGCAAGCCUGAUCCAGCCAUGCCGCGUGCAGGAUGACGGUCCUAUGGAUUGUAAACUGCUUUUAUACAGGAAGAAACACUACUUCGUGAAGUAGCUUGACGGUACUGUAAGAAUAAGGAUCGGCUAACUCCGUGCCAGCAGCCGCGGUAAUACGGAGGAUCCAAGCGUUAUCCGGAAUCAUUGGGUUUAAAGGGUCCGUAGGCGGU
RNAcentral lists this ribosomal RNA (570 nucleotides) under uncultured Bacteroidota bacterium. RNAcentral's name for it is "bacterial SSU rRNA". It matches the Rfam family "Bacterial small subunit ribosomal RNA", at positions 8 to 579 of the family's 1533-position model. Lineage: Bacteria; Pseudomonadati; Bacteroidota. The record is from RNAcentral.